CGCGGAGUAGAGCAGCGGCAGCUCGCGAGGUUCAUUCCCUCGAAGUCGCCGGUUCGAAUCCGGCCUCCGCCA
RNAcentral lists this transfer RNA (72 nucleotides) under Caudoviricetes sp. RNAcentral's name for it is "tRNA-Met". It matches the Rfam family "tRNA". Rfam says of the family: Transfer RNA (tRNA) molecules are approximately 80 nucleotides in length. Their secondary structure includes four short double-helical elements and three loops (D, anti-codon, and T loops). Lineage: Duplodnaviria; Heunggongvirae; Uroviricota; Caudoviricetes. The record is from RNAcentral.